Molecule: ribosomal RNA, 404 nt
Filed under: Fusobacteriota bacterium
Lineage: Bacteria; Fusobacteriati; Fusobacteriota
Description: Fusobacteria bacterium partial 16S ribosomal RNA
Rfam family: Bacterial small subunit ribosomal RNA
Source: RNAcentral
UGGGGAAUAUUGCACAAUGGAGGGAACUCUGAUGCAGCGACGCCGCGUGAGUGAUGAAGGAAUUCGUUUCGUAAAACUCUGUUCUAUGGGAAGAAAAGGACUGUACCAUAGGAGAAAGCUCCGGCUAAAUACGUGCCAGCAGCCGCGGUAAUACGUAUGGAGCGAGCGUUGUCCGGAAUUAUUGGGCGUAAAGGGUGCGCAGGCGGCUUUACAAGUUGGAUGUGAAAUAUUGUGGCUCAACCACAAACGUGCAUCCAAAACUGCAAAGCUUGGGUUAAAGAGAGGUAAGUGGAAUUCCUGGUGUAGCGGUGGAAUGCGUAGAUAUCAGGAGGAAUACCGGUGGCGGAGGCGACUUACUGGACUUAAACUGACGCUCAGGGACGAAAGCGUGGGGAGCAAACAGG